CGAGCGGACUAAUUAAAGAGCUUGCUCUUUAUGAGGUUAGCGGCGGACGGGUGAGUAACACGUGGGCAACCUGCCUUACAGAUUGGGAUAACAACGAGAAAUCGUUGCUAAUACCGAAUAAUCAAUGUCCUCGCAUGAGGACAUUCUGAAAGUUGGCGCAAGCUAACACUGUAAGAUGGGCCCGCGGCGCAUUAGCUAGUUGGUAAGGUAACGGCUUACCAAGGCGACGAUGCGUAGCCGACCUGAGAGGGUGAUCGGCCACACUGGGACUGAGACACGGCCCAGACUCCUACGGGAGGCAGCAGUAGGGAAUCUUCCGCAAUGGACGCAAGUCUGACGGAGCAACGCCGCGUGAGUGAUGAAGGUUUUCGGAUCGUAAAACUCUGUUGUUAGGGAAGAACAAGUAUCGGAGUCACUGCCGGUACCUUGACGGUACCUGACGAGAAAGCCACGGCUAACUACGUGCCAGCAGCCGCGGUAAUACGUAGGUGGCAAGCGUUGUCCGGAUUUAUUGGGCGUAAAGCGCGCGCAGGCGGUCUUUUAAGUCUGAUGUGAAAUCUUACAGCUUAACUGUAAGCGGUCAUUGGAAACUGGGAGACUUGAGUGCAGAAGAGGAGAGUGGAAUUCCAUGUGUAGCGGUGAAAUGCGUAGAGAUAUGGAGGAACACCAGUGGCGAAGGCGACUCUCUGGUCUGUAACUGACGCUGAGGCGCGAAAGCGUGGGGAUCAAACAGGAUUAGAUACCCUGGUAGUCCACGCCGUAAACGAUGAGUGCUAGGUGUUAGGGGUUUCGAUACCCUUAGUGCCGCAGUUAACACAUUAAGCACUCCGCCUGG
This 835-nucleotide ribosomal RNA is filed under the name uncultured Caryophanales bacterium. RNAcentral describes it as "bacterial SSU rRNA". It matches the Rfam family "Bacterial small subunit ribosomal RNA", at positions 63 to 876 of the family's 1533-position model. The record is from RNAcentral. Lineage: Bacteria; Bacillati; Bacillota; Bacilli; Caryophanales.